GACGAACGCUGGCGGCGUGCUUAACACAUGCAAGUCGAACGGAAAGGCCCUUCGGGGUCCUCGAGUGGCGAACGGGUGAGUAACACGUGGGUGAUCUGCCCUGCACUUUGGGAUAAGCCUGGGAAACUGGGUCUAAUACCGAAUAGGACCACGCGCUUCAUGGUGUGUGGUGGAAAGCUUUUGCGGUGUGGGAUGGGCCCGCGGCCUAUCAGCUUGUUGGUGGGGUAAUGGCCUACCAAGGCGACGACGGGUAGCCGGCCUGAGAGGGUGACCGGCCACACUGGGACUGAGAUACGGCCCAGACUCCUACGGGAGGCAGCAGUGGGGAAUAUUGCACAAUGGGCGCAAGCCUGAUGCAGCGACGCCGCGUGGGGGAUGACGGCCUUCGGGUUGUAAACCUCUUUCAAUAGGGACGAAGCGCAAGUGACGGUACCUAUAGAAGAAGCACCGGCCAACUACGUG
Molecule: ribosomal RNA, 462 nt
Filed under: uncultured bacterium
Lineage: Bacteria
Description: partial 16S ribosomal RNA
Rfam family: Bacterial small subunit ribosomal RNA
Source: RNAcentral